RNAcentral lists this ribosomal RNA (795 nucleotides) under uncultured bacterium. RNAcentral describes it as "bacterial SSU rRNA". It matches the Rfam family "Bacterial small subunit ribosomal RNA", at positions 8 to 796 of the family's 1533-position model. The record is from RNAcentral.
AGAGUUUGAUCCUGGCUCAGAUUGAACGCUGGCGGAAUGCUUUACACAUGCAAGUCGAACGGCAGCACGGGAGCUUGCUCCUGGUGGCGAGUGGCGAACGGGUGAGUAAUGCGUCGGAACGUAUCCAUUAAUGGGGGAUAACGCAGCGAAAGUUGUGCUAAUACCGCAUACGCCCUAUGGGGGAAAGCAGGGGAUCGCAAGACCUUGCGUUAUUCGAGCGGCCGACGUCUGAUUAGCUAGUUGGUGGGGUAAAGGCCUACCAAGGCGACGAUCAGUAGCGGGUCUGAGAGGAUGAUCCGCCACACUGGGACUGAGACACGGCCCAGACUCCUACGGGAGGCAGCAGUGGGGAAUUUCGGACAAUGGGGGCAACCCUGAUCCAGCCAUUCCGCGUGAGUGAAGAAGGCCUUCGGGUUGUAAAGCUCUUUCAGCUGGAGUGAAACGGUACGCUCUAACAUAGCGUGCUAAUGACGGUACCAGCAGAAGAAGCACCGGCUAACUACGUGCCAGCAGCCGCGGUAAUACGUAGGGUGCGAGCGUUAAUCGGAAUUACUGGGCGUAAAGCGUGCGCAGGCGGAUUGUUAAGCAAGACGUGAAAUCCCCGGGCUUAACCUGGGAAUGGCGUUUUGAACUGGCAGUCUAGAGUGUGUCAGAGGGGGGUAGAAUUCCACGUGUAGCAGUGAAAUGCGUAGAGAUGUGGAGGAAUACCGAUGGCGAAGGCAGCCCCCUGGGAUAACACUGACGCUCAUGUACGAAAGCGUGGGUAGCAAACAGGAUUAGAUACCCUGGUAGUCG